This 1392-nucleotide long non-coding RNA is filed under the name Homo sapiens (human). Its description in RNAcentral is "HSALNT0338869". The record is from RNAcentral. Lineage: Eukaryota; Metazoa; Chordata; Mammalia; Primates; Hominidae.
AAACAUUUGAUAAUGAGGCUAAAUAUACUCCCGCGUCGGAGGAGGCGUGGGCGUCCCCGCCCAGGCCCGGGAGACAGAGGCGCUGACCCCGGGACAGAGCCUGGCUUUGUGCGGGAGGCAGACGCGCCCCGCGCGCCGCCCCCGAAACAUUCGCACCCCAUGCUGAGGCGCGCGUCUGGGAGUCCGUGGGCGCCCCGAGGUGAGCCCGGGGCCCCUGGCGGAAGCAGCGGGGAGCUCCCGGCGGGUGCGGGGAGGUGCUGGUGGGAAGCAAGGUGCACCUGGCGGCCUGGGAUGUCCGGUCGCCCCCGGAGCCGGUGCAUCCGGCCUCUCCCGGCGCGCCCCGACGUGCCCGCGGGCUCAUAAUUACCGUGAGUCAGGUGCCCCAAAUAGGCCGAGCGAGGGGGGCCGUCGCGCAGCAGGGGCGGGUGGCCGGACGUCUGCCCGGGACUGGUUGCCUCCCGCCCCUCCCCAAGACCCUGGCACCCAGGGAGGGCGGGAAAGGCCUUGGCCAUUCCUCUGGGUAGGGGACUGGAGAGGGGAAGAAACUUUCGCCGAGUCCAGCGCUGCCCCCUCAUACCCAUCCCCACCCAGGCUGCGUGUCCGGGGCCCCUCCGGGGCUUGGCACCAGCAGGCACGCAGCGAUCGCCGUCGUUGUUAUUUAGUAGUAGUAGUAACGGCUGACAUUUACAGCGACGUCGAUGGCGCCAGGUGCCAAGCUCUUUCCUUGUAUAAUUUCAUGGACACUCACGCAUCAACUCUAAGCGAAGACUUGGAGCGGGGCUCAGCACCCCAGGGGUACCUCUGCAACCUCGAAAUGAAGUUGAAAAUAGCACAGGAGCCCACUAUCACUGUGUGAACAUUUUGUGAAUGAAGACAUGUAUGAAAGGAUGUUUGGAGGCUUCAAGAAACGAAAGCCGAGAGUCUAGCUAGACCAGAGCCAUCCAGCCCAGGAGCGAUGGCCACGUGUGGCCGCUGGACACGAGAGACGUGGCCAGUCCAAACUGUGCAGUGCGGGGCAGUGGAAGCCGUUGGAGGGCCUCAGGCAGGAACACAAGGUGUCGUGGCAGAAAGGAAGAAGGGGCCGGGCACGGUGGCCCACACCCGUCAUCCCAGCACUUUGGGAGGGAGGCCAAGGCAGGAGGAUCGCUUCAAUCCAGGAGUUCAAGAUCAGCCUGGGCAACACAGCAAGACCCCGUCUCUACUAAAACCCUAAAACUUAGCCAGGCUUGGUGGCAUGUGCCUAAGGUCCCAGGUCCUCGGGAGACUAAGGCAGGAGGAUUGCUUAAGCCCAAGAGUUUGAGGCUGCAGUGAACUAUUAUCACACCACUGCACUCAGCCUGGGUGACAGAGUGACUCUGUCUCAAAACUAAAUAAAUAAACAAUAAUUGUGUU